AACUGAUACUACCUGCGGGAACCUGCGGAAGGAUCAUUAUCGUUGGGCUCGCCCAAUCGAGAUAGAACCCUUGCCUUUUCGUGUACCGCCUGUUUCCUCGGCGGGUCCGCCCGCCGAUGGACCCCCUUUAAACCCCUUUUGCAGUUGCAGUAAACGUCUAAAUUUUUGAAUAAUCAAAACUUUUAACAAUGGAUCUCU
This 198-nucleotide unclassified non-coding RNA is filed under the name soil metagenome. RNAcentral's name for it is "partial contains 5.8S ribosomal RNA, internal transcribed spacer 2, and large subunit ribosomal RNA". The record is from RNAcentral.